GUGCUAGUUAACUUCAGCAUUUACUUCCAUGGAAUGCAGAAUUUUGAGACAGGAUUGUGACUGGACUGGAAUAAGAAUAAGGAAGCUUCAGACACUCUAGACUUGGAGUGGAAUUCAGCAACUUAAAUGGCGUUGUGUUGGCUUCUUCAUGGGAGAUGAGAAUAUUUUCAGGUUUCUGAGGCAUAUUUGCAUUGUAUUAGGUGAUAUUUUUGUUGACUGAUUUAUUUUGUGGUUUUCUGCUGUUGACAGUGAAAAUGUGGGAGAAACAAAGUGGAUGUGCUGAUGCUGCAUAGUAAAAUGGGUGCACAUUUGUCAUGAUUUUCUGCUGUCCAGCAUGUAAAGCCUCCUGUGUAUGGAAAAUCUACCUGUUCCUUGAAGUUCACGAUAUUACUUUCUCCUGGCACUAAAGUAAGAGGAUUUAGAUCGGAAGAAAUGAGGCAAAAUGUUAUCCAUGAGUAGAAUCUUUGGCUGCUGAUUUUAUUUCUGGCAACAAUACAAAACCAAACGACCAAGAGGAUUAAAAAAGAAAAAAAACAAAACAGUCUGCACAGGACAAUUCCAGGGCCUUUGGGAUCUGCAUCUUUU
Molecule: long non-coding RNA, 585 nt
Organism: Callithrix jacchus (white-tufted-ear marmoset)
Lineage: Eukaryota; Metazoa; Chordata; Mammalia; Primates; Cebidae
Source: Ensembl